UACGGAGGAUGCAAGCGUUAUCCGGAAUGAUUGGGCGUAAAGCGUCCGCAGGUGGCUGUGUAAGUCUGCUGUCAAAGAGCAAAGCUCAACUUUGUAAAGGCAGUGGAAACUACACGGCUAGAGUGCGUUCGGGGCAGAGGGAAUUCCUGGUGUAGCGGUGAAAUGCGUAGAGAUCAGGAAGAACACCGGUGGCGAAAGCGCUCUGCUGGGGCGGAACUGACACUGAGGCACGAAAGCUAGGGGAGCGAAUGGG
RNAcentral lists this ribosomal RNA (253 nucleotides) under uncultured bacterium. Its description in RNAcentral is "partial 16S ribosomal RNA". It matches the Rfam family "Bacterial small subunit ribosomal RNA", at positions 524 to 776 of the family's 1533-position model. The record is from RNAcentral.